This 72-nucleotide transfer RNA is filed under the name Chelonia mydas (Green sea turtle). It matches the Rfam family "tRNA". Rfam says of the family: Transfer RNA (tRNA) molecules are approximately 80 nucleotides in length. Their secondary structure includes four short double-helical elements and three loops (D, anti-codon, and T loops). Lineage: Eukaryota; Metazoa; Chordata; Testudines; Cheloniidae. The record is from Rfam by way of RNAcentral.
GGCAGUGUGGCCUAGCACAGAAAGCACUGAACUGAGACUCAGGAGACCUGGGCCUUAUUCCCAGCUCUGCCA